GUGAGGAAUAUUGGUCAAUGGGCGGGAGCCUGAACCAGCCAAGUCGCGUGAAGGAAGAAGGAUCUAUGGUUCGUAAACUUCUUUUGCAGGGGAAUAAAGUGCAGGACGUGUCCUGUUUUGUAUGUACCCUGAGAAUAAGGAUCGGCUAACUCCGUGCCAGCAGCCGCGGUAAUACGGAGGAUCCGAGCGUUAUCCGGAUUUAUUGGGUUUAAAGGGUGCGUAGGUGGUUUGAUAAGUCAGCGGUGAAAGUUUGCAGCUUAACUGUAAAAAUGCCGUUGAAACUGUUGGAAUUGAGUGUAAAUGAGGUAGGCGGAAUGCGUGGUGUAGCGGUGAAAUGCAUAGAUAUCACGCAGAACUCCGAUUGCGAAGGCAGCUUACUAAGCUACAACUGACACUGAAGCACGAAAGCGUGGGGAUCAAACAGGAUUAGAUACCCUAGUAGUCC
This 445-nucleotide ribosomal RNA is filed under the name uncultured bacterium. RNAcentral describes it as "partial 16S ribosomal RNA". It matches the Rfam family "Bacterial small subunit ribosomal RNA", at positions 354 to 796 of the family's 1533-position model. The record is from RNAcentral.